Molecule: ribosomal RNA, 460 nt
Filed under: uncultured bacterium
Lineage: Bacteria
Description: partial 16S ribosomal RNA
Rfam family: Bacterial small subunit ribosomal RNA
Source: RNAcentral
CCUACGGGAGGCAGCAGUGAGGAAUAUUGGUCAAUGGGCGCGAGCCUGAACCAGCCAAGUAGCGUGAAGGAUGACUGCCCUACGGGUUGUAAACUUCUUUUAUAAAGGAAUAAAGUGAGGCACGUGUGCCUUUUUGUAUGUACUUUAUGAAUAAGGAUCGGCUAACUCCGUGCCAGCAGCCGCGGUAAUACGGAGGAGCCGAGCGUUAUCCGGAUUUAUUGGGUUUAAAGGGAGCGUAGAUGGGUUGUUAAGUCAGUUGUGAAAGUUUGGGGCUCAACCGUAAAAUUGCAAUUGAUACUGGCAGCCUUGAGUACAGGUGAGGUAGGCGGAAUUCGUGGUGUAGCGGUGAAAUGCUUAGAUAUCACGAAGAACUCCGAUUGCGAAGGCAGCUUACUGGACUGACACUGACAUUGAGGCUCGAAAGUGUGGGUAUCAAACAGGAUUAGAUACCCUUGUAGUC